Small nucleolar RNA from Ornithorhynchus anatinus (platypus), 139 nucleotides. NCBI's taxonomy places the organism in Eukaryota, Metazoa, Chordata, Mammalia, Monotremata, Ornithorhynchidae. The record is from RefSeq and is a predicted model, not a curated record.
CUUCUCUCAGCAUUGCACACUGGAGAGUUUCCAGUACUCUGCCUGUCUCGGGUAAGGGAGGGAGAGUCAAGCAGAGGCCUAUCCAUUCCAUUCCUAGUUUGGGCAGUGGCUAGUGAGUGGAAGGCAAUCUGCUGCAAGU